CUUUCUAGAGCCGUGCGUGAGGGAAAGUGGGGAGAGGCUGUGGAUACGAGUGUUUCUCUGGAUGAAGCAGUGGGCGGAGAAGCAUAGCAAAGUCUACGCAGAGAACUGGAAGAGAACACCACCAUGCUUUAGGAGAGCUACUAAGAACUGAGUGAGCAAAGAGCCUUAAGGGUACCAUUGUGCCAAGUCAGGGUGCUGAGGCUUUCCCUGUUGUGCUCAGCCCGCCAGGUUCCAAAAAAAUCUUAGGGCCCGGCCUAGGAGUAUGACAUCACUGGGUUGACAUUUUUCCCCGCUUGUUUGUAACCCCAGUGCCAUAUCAGGGCUCCAACUGCUUAGAAAUGUGAAUUAUGGCUCACAUUUGCGUCUCAUUUGCUGUUUGUAAGCUGAGGUAAUCCUCUGAACUAUAUAGUGUGGCAUUACCUGUUUUUCAAAUUCACCUCCCAAAGUUCUGAGAAGCCAAACAUCACCCAAGUUAUCAAGUUGCAGCGCACAAACUGAAAUCGGUGUUUCUGACUCACACUUAAGUCCACUCUGCCUACAUAGAAAGACUGCAUUCCUUUCAUUUUCCCUCUUGCAGUUGCUUCCCUGGGAUGGAGAUAAGUCAUUUUGGUAGACUUCUAUGGAAAUUGAUCCACCAUGAAGAAUUGAAGAGAAGAAUGUAAGAAGAAAAACCCAGAGGACUCUUUUGAUUUUGCAGAAUUUGGUCUGAGAGGUAGAAGAGGAUGUCUGGGAAAGAGAAGUCUAAAUUUGAUGAAAUUGCAAAGGAGAAUAAAGUAUGCUAUGAUUGGGAAAGAUAAGUCUAAAUUUGAUGAAAUUGCAAAGGCAAAUAAAGUAUGCUAUGAUUGGGAAAUGAAGGAUUACAGACCAGCUAAAAGAGGCAAGAAGAAGAACCUUUAUGCCCCUAGAAGACCAACAUCUGGUAUUUCCCAUUCUGUUCAGAAUUUUGUCCCAAGAUUAAAUCCACAAACCUUUGUGUCUCUAUUGGAGAAGUAGCAAAAAAAAAAAAAAAAAAAAAGCUGGGUGAGAUGAGGAAUAACUUAAGUGACAGUGAAGAGCACUCUUACAUCACUAAGGCAGCAAAACUGAAGGAGAAGUAUGAGAAGGAUGUUGCUGACUGUAAGCAUAAAGGAAAGUUUGAUGGCACAAAACAUCCUACUAACAUUGCCUGGAAAAAGGUGGAAGCAGAAGACGAAGAAGAUGAGGAGAAUGAAGAGGAGGAGGCAGUGGAGGAGGAUGACUUUAAAACCAUUUAUCUAUCUCUAUGUGAAUAUCUUAGAAUACGGGAGGAUUGUAAUUGAUAGUUUCUUAUUGUGAAGUGUCUAUUGGCCUCAUUAGAUUUAAUUACAAAAUCUGAUGAUGAUCAUAUUGUAGCCUCUCAAAGUGCUCUAGAAGUUGUCAGUGGUUUACAUGAAGUGGCCAUGGGUGUCUGGAACACCCUGAAAUGGUAUCAAAGUUGUAUGUAUUUCCAAACAUUUUAAAAAUGAAAAAGCACUGUUGUGUUCUGUUCACUGUGUACUUUGUUGUUGGUGUAACAAGGCAUUUAAAGAUGUUUCUGACUUUUUUAAUUUGUAAGGUGGUGUUAACUGUAUGGUUAUUGGCUAGAAAUGCUGAGUUAUUAACCGUUCAUAUUUAUAGUUUGUAAAAAGAAUAAAACAACCAAUACAAACUCUUGAUGCUUGGUAUUGAGGCUAUAGGGAGAGAUGUCUUUUGCAGGGGCCAUAGCUCAGAGGGUGCACUGUGAGGCUGGAACUGUUUCCACUGUGAUGGGCUUCCGUUUAGCUUAGGGUAGUCUUGUUUUUUUAUAUAGUGACAUAGCAUUGUGCUGCUUGGAAUAAGGGGGUCAGGUGGCAUGAGAAGUGUUAGAAUUUUUUUUUAGUUAAAUGCAGUCGUUUUUAAAUUGUUUUUAGACAAACUGUAGAGCUUUUCACUGUCAGCAAAGCAAAGAGCCACUGUGUCAAUGAAAGUUCAAUAGCCUUCCGUACUUAAACAAGAUUUGCAAUGUUCUGGGUUUUUUUAUGUUUCAAAUGCUGAAAUGUUUUCAAACUUAAAUAAACUGUACUUCAAUUUUUAAAAGGUGACAACUUCAGGAAACUGCCUUUUAUAGUUACUCUCUUCUCAGUAGGGUAGGAGAUGAGAAAGUCUUCUGGAAGUGAUUAAGAUUCUGGGAGGUGGAAGAAAGGGUAGCAGAUAUUGAAGAUAACAUGAAACAUUUUGGAAUAAUCAUGGUGAACAAUUGGAGAGUUGGGCAAGUAAUAUAGUAUCUCUUUAGGCCAUGUGAGGGUUAAGGUUAAUAGUCAUUAAUAAAUGGCAAUAUUAACCUACCUGGCAUAGGAUUUUCUUCAGCAGAAUAUCAGAGCCUGAGUGGGCUUGGUAAAGGCAGACUUAAAUAGACUCAUUUAGGGAUAGUAACAUUACAGAAGGUAGGAGAGAAGGACAAUUUUGAAAAUAAUUUUAGGGUACUGGCAAAAUAACAUUUAACUAGGUUGGAUUAUUGUAUCUAUGGUCUAUAAGAAAGGAAGUGAAGUCAAAAGGUUGUCAGGAGAAUAAAGGAUCAAUGGGCUAGAAAUCUAAUGAGGCUUAAAAAAAUUGUGGUGGGAGUAUAUUUCAAGGAGAAAAUGGAAAAAAGGAAGCUUUGUUCACAGCACAGAAUCUUAAAUUAAUCCCUUUGAAGUUGAUGGUAAGUUCCAAAGAAUGACUAUGGGAGUGGGUGGCUCAGGUGGGAUGAUGGAGGUCAUUGUGGGAGAUGUGUGACGCAGGUGUCACACAGACCACCCAGGAUAUUGUAUCACCUAGGAUGAAAGCCUAGCUUGAGAUACAGAGGAAGAGUGCCAAAAACUUCAGAGAAUGGAAGAGGACGUGACCAGGAUAUUAGAAAUAUGGUUCUACCAACCCAAAUGUCUAUCAAUGAUAGACUGGAUUAAGAAAAUGUGGCACAUAUACACCAUGGAAUACUAUGCAGCCAUAAAAAAGGAUGAGUUCAUGUCCUUUGUAGGGACAUGGAUGAAGCUAGAAACAAUCAUUCUGAGCAAACUGUUGCCAAGGACAGAAAACCAAACAUUGCAUGUUCUCACUCAUAGGUGGGAAUUGAACAAUGAGAACACUUGGACACAGGGUGGGGAACAUCACACACUGGGGCCUGUAGUGGGGUGGAGGGAGUGGGGAGGGAUAGCAUUAGGAGAUAUACCUAAUGUAAAUGACGAGUUAAUGGGUGCAGCAUACCAACAUGGCACAUGUAAACGUAUGUAACAAACCUGCACAUUGUGCACAUGUACCCUAGAACUUAAAGUAUUAAAAAAAACUUCUAGAAAAAAAUAUACUAUUAUAUAUAGCAAAAAAAAGAAAUAUGGUUCUAGACAUUGCUAUAGUUUAAAUUAUGUACAUGAGACUGCUUAAGGAGAGCUCAUAGCAUGAGAAAAUGGAAGAAGAUCACCAAUAUUUACAGAAGAAGGAAAGGAAACUAAGCCCAGUAAAAAGGUAGGAAAACGUGGCCAGAGAGGGAAGAGGAAAACCAAUACAAAGUAUUGAAAGCAAAGAAGGUGAUACCAAUUGUAAUGUGCUUAGAAUAGUGUCUUGCUAUUUUAUAACUGAAAAAAAUGUGUCAAUGAAGAAGAGAGUUUAAAAGAGAUGAUGAUUAUAUUUAGUGAUGAAUGAGUUCUUGGUAACCAAGAGGAAGUUGUAGAAUGGAUAUGAUGCAUCAAAUUUAAUAUUUUAAUUUUCCCCUUCUUUCAGAUUUUUUGAGAAAUAUAUAGUAAUCAGUCAUGGGAUAAGAGGUCUUAUCAUUCUUUUCCACUUUAAAAUACCUGUUCUCAUUAUAAUCAUACAUUGGUUUUAAAAUUUCUUAGGAGACUCCAUCACCUUCGGUUACGUCAGUGAUUUGUAUACUAGUUCCCCACC
Molecule: long non-coding RNA, 3894 nt
Filed under: Homo sapiens (human)
Lineage: Eukaryota; Metazoa; Chordata; Mammalia; Primates; Hominidae
Description: non-protein coding lnc-CEP120-7:1
Source: RNAcentral